This 250-nucleotide ribosomal RNA is filed under the name uncultured bacterium. RNAcentral describes it as "partial 16S ribosomal RNA". It matches the Rfam family "Bacterial small subunit ribosomal RNA", at positions 524 to 773 of the family's 1533-position model. The record is from RNAcentral.
GACGGAGGGGGCGAGCGUUGUCCGGAAUUACUGGGCGUAAAGGGCGCGUAGGCGGGCGUGUACGGCGGUGGUGAAAGCUCCCGGCUUAACUGGGAGAGGCCCUCCGCAACGGCACGUCUCGAGGGUGGUAGAGGCAGAUGGAAUUCCAGGUGUAGCGGUGAAAUGCGUAGAGAUCUGGAGGAACACCCGUGGCGAAGGCGGUCUGCUGGGCCAUGCCUGACGCUGAAGCGCGAAGGCCAGGGGAGUGAAC